This 484-nucleotide small RNA is filed under the name Pongo abelii (Sumatran orangutan). RNAcentral describes it as "processed transcript". Lineage: Eukaryota; Metazoa; Chordata; Mammalia; Primates; Hominidae. The record is from RNAcentral.
CAAAUGGAGCCUUAUCUCAUAGAGCUUUCUAAGAAGUAUGGAGUACAUGUUUGUGGAGAAGGUGGAGAGUAUGAAACUUUCACUUUGGAUUGCCCUCUAUUUAAGAAGAAAAUAAUUGUGGAUUCGUCAGAAGUAGUCAUACAUUCAGCUGAUGCAUUUGCACCUGUGGCUUAUCUACGCUUUUUAGAAUUGCACUUGGAGGACAAGGUCAAAAACCAAUGUAUUCAAGAAAACCUCCCACCAGUUACCAGUGGACUAGCAGCAUCUGAGCCACGUUUCUCUCAUUCAGUGGAGAAAGCAUGUUACAUGCGGCUGCUUAAGCCUUUUCUUUUCUCCAAGGUGCUAAUUUAGUUAGUAUUUAGUGAGUAAGAAAAUUGCUUUUAAAAACAGAAAAUAAAUUAACAGGUUUAUUUAUUUUUCUUUAUUUUUAUUCUUCUGAAAACCUGAAUCUAUAAAUGUCUGGUAUUAAAUGAUGUUUAAUGAU